This 948-nucleotide long non-coding RNA is filed under the name Olea europaea (common olive). RNAcentral's name for it is "long non-coding RNA (OEUR_LNC008626)". Lineage: Eukaryota; Viridiplantae; Streptophyta; Magnoliopsida; Lamiales; Oleaceae. The record is from RNAcentral.
UAGACUUCUGAAUUGAAAAUUACCGAAUAAUUGAGAGUAAGAAAAUGAAUUUAAUUAAAUCACAAAAGGAUGAACAAGACGGCGCUUUAGCGUGUGUUCCAAACACAACUACAAAACCAGAUAUUUCAAAAGGCAUCAUCAAUCUCCAUCAUCAGUAUUAUUACAUGAUGGUACCUUUUUCGUUUCUGGCGCUGAAUUCUUCUUGGAUUUGGGUUUUGCAGGACUUGACGUAGAGAGAGAAACAACCAUCUACAUCACUCAUAAAAAAAUAAAAAAUAUUAAUAGAAGAAUUCAAAGGCACGUAAACCAAUUUCACAAACAGAAACCAUCAAACAAACGAGAAUUUAAUUACCUUGUCUCUAAUCUUUUCAUAUUUAUGUUUCCCACCAAUGAUAUCAUUUCUGAUUUGUUUGCUCCUGUCAAAUCCUUGAAGUGACAACUCAUCUUUUCCAUCAGUGUCACUAAAGAUCUAUUCUUCCUCCUCCACCGUUAUGCUCUCUAUCUUCUUUGGCCAAUCCCUUCUACGAGAAGAUCCAUCAUUUGAUAAAUGAUCUUCAGAUACACAAGUAACCAUUUUCUCACUCUGAGAUCCCUUUUUGCUGAAAAAAUCGGGUGAUUUCUCCUUUCUUGAAUUAGUCGAAGAAGAUAACUCUUUUGACGAUGAACUUCAAGGUGAACUGUCUUUUUCUUGAUCUUACCAUUACGAUGUACUUCAAAUAAAUCCUUGCAUCCACUUAUCCAAGCAUGAUCAUAACCAUCCUCCCGCUUCAUCAACAAAUUAGGUUUUCUACGCCUUCUCUUUUGAACUACUCUUGUGUCCCUUUCUUUUUGCUGUAUUUCUGUAAUGUCAAUCCUUUUAAGCUCUUGCUGACAGCUCUUUCAAGUCCUUUGUGAAUUUUCAUUUUUCAUCAUCUGAAAGAUUUCCAUUAGCAGUCUUCCUUUCAGGAG